Long non-coding RNA from Eriocheir sinensis (Chinese mitten crab), 1800 nucleotides. RefSeq lists it as uncharacterized. Lineage: Eukaryota; Metazoa; Arthropoda; Malacostraca; Decapoda; Varunidae. The transcript has 3 exons. The record is from RefSeq and is a predicted model, not a curated record.
AAAAUCGUAUUGUGAAGUGUUGUAUGUGCAGAGUAUCGUAUAAGGAAGCGUUGGAAGUGCAGAAUAUCGUAUAAGGAAGUGUUAGAAGUGCUGAAAAUCGUAUUGCAAAGUCUUGUAAGUGCAGAGUAUCGUACAAGGAAGUGUUUAAGUGCUGGAUAUCGUACAGCGCAGUGGUUUUAGUGAAUUGUUAAAGUACUGAAAAUGUUAUUGUGAAAAUGAUGAAUAUUGUACAGCGAAAUCCUUUAGUGUGGAGACUAUCGCAUAUCGGAAUGUUUGAAAGUGACGUACAAAUAUGCGAUAAAUUACUCAUGGAGGUGCUCUGAUAUUGCCAAGUGUGAACGAUUAUCUAAAAAAAAAAAGAGAGAUAAAAUUGUGGAGAACAGAUUUUAAAAGCUGCACAUUUACCUCCAUUGCAAACACUACCACCACCGCCACCACGACCCCGGAACUGACAUGGGCAAGAUUGGGGUGAAGCAGUUUUCAGAUCAUGCCAACUUAGAUCCAAGAAGUCCAACUAAUGCCUGCUGCAGCUGUAGCAACAAAGAACCCUUACAACCAAGGAUGGGCUGGGCCGCCUCACCUCAAAACCAAGAUAAGCAACACCUGGGCAGCCCCGUGCAGGUCACCCUCACACUGACGACGACGGGCCGUUGAAGAAAAAACUGUGUCAAGAAGAGGAUGGGUCACCGCAUCACUGAACAAAAUCCACAGUGCCUUGACAGGAAGAGAUGAGCCACAAAUUAUACAGCUAAAAGAUGAACCAGAAGGCACUGAUGACUUUGCCUUGCCACGGCCCCAGACACUCAACGUUGGCCCAGUCCCUCCAGGGUCUUCUCAACAGCAGAUGUGAGUUUUCUUACAACUACAGUUACUUCUGCUACACAAAAGGAAGAGUUCAUUUGCAUUUUUUUCAUAUGAUUGAGAAUUUUUUUAAUCCUAAAAGUAAAUGAUUAAGAUAAUCAUACGAUUAAAAACAAGUUGAAUAUGAAAUGAAACCCUUGUAAAAUCAUAGGUAUACUCUAAUCUCAUUAAAAACAGGAAUUGUGUUUUAGCUACUUAAAAUAAAUAUGACAUGUUUUUUGACUCCAGGAAGCUGAGAUGACCCAUUGUUUUGGAGUGACCCAGCCUUCUGCCAACAGCCAAUUUUUCCACUAGAAAGAGUGACUGACACUCUUUACUCAUUCACCAGUAGUGUUCUGUGGCUUUGCCAGUUUGAUUAAGAAUAAGAGCAGGGGAAAAGAUCCAUUAUAUCCAUAUGUACACAGAGAUGCCUGAACACCCACCGCAUAACACUGGUGGCCUCAGGCACUCCCGUGAGGUUAGGUGAGUGUGGGGAUUAUUACCUCACUGUGAACCAAACUGUUUGACAGGAACCAAGUUGUGUAUGUAUAUAUAUAUACAUUUAUAUAUGUAUAUAUAUAUACACACAUAUAUCCAAUUUCAUCAGUUCUUAGAAUGCUGACACCUAAGGCCAAACUGACCAACCUACUGUUUUUUUGCAGAUUAUUUACUAAAUGAAUACCAGUCACACUUUUUUGGGGGGGCAGAUUCAAGAAACAUUGAUACACCCACUCAGCAUGUAGGGAGCAGCAUGGCCCCAUGGCGCUCGGCCAGGCACGACCACAAGGAUGGGGGGGUGGCCAUGACCCAGCGCUGGCAGAAGGGCCCAUUGCUUGCAACACCGACUCGCCCUGAGCUGGAGGAUCUCCCUGCUCGGCCAGAACUACGCAGAGUACUGCCCGGACAGGUAACAGCUUGCUCUCUCUCUCACACACACACACACACACACACACACACACA